RNAcentral lists this ribosomal RNA (444 nucleotides) under uncultured organism. Its description in RNAcentral is "partial 16S ribosomal RNA". It matches the Rfam family "Bacterial small subunit ribosomal RNA", at positions 335 to 796 of the family's 1533-position model. The record is from RNAcentral.
ACUCCUGCGGGAGGCAGCAGUGGGGAAUAUUGGACAAUGGGCGCAAGCCUGAUCCAGCCAUGCCGCGUGAGUGAUGAAGGCCCUAGGGUUGUAAGACUCUUUCACCGGUGAAGAUAAUGACGGUAACCGGAGAAGAAGCCCCGGCUAACUUCGUGCCAGCAGCCGCGGUAAUACGAAGGGGGCUAGCGUUGUUCGGAUUUACUGGGCGUAAAGCGCACGUAGGCGGACUAUUAAGUCAGGGGUGAAAUCCCGGGGCUCAACCCCGGAACUGCCUUUGAUACUGGUAGUCUUGAGUUCGAGAGAGGUGAGUGGAAUUCCGAGUGUAGAGGUGAAAUUCGUAGAUAUUCGGAGGAACACCAGUGGCGAAGGCGGCUCACUGGCUCGAUACUGACGCUGAGGUGCGAAAGCGUGGGGAGCAAACAGGAUUAGAUACCCGAGUAGUCC